GCCGAGCUCAGUAGCGCGGGCUUGUCACCCAAGUGGGGGCUAUGAGGUGAUGGGACGUUGUCCCAGCCCAGAUGGUUGGAUUCGGUCUGGCUAAUUUCUGGCUUGCCCAUUCCAAGCUGGGAGUUGAACCAUGGGACUCGAGCGAAGGUUUGGCUCUCCUGGGUUCCUAGAGCAGAGGGUACCGCGUUAGGCUGGCUUCACAGAGCAGCGACCACCUCUCGCUCCUGGCAGUGGAAGGAUUACAGGCCGGUUGUCAAACGAGUCCGCAUGGCCUGAUGGGUUGCUUAAUUGGACCAUCACUUUU
Molecule: signal recognition particle RNA, 304 nt
Filed under: Manihot esculenta (cassava)
Lineage: Eukaryota; Viridiplantae; Streptophyta; Magnoliopsida; Malpighiales; Euphorbiaceae
Description: Plant signal recognition particle RNA
Rfam family: Plant signal recognition particle RNA
Source: Rfam by way of RNAcentral